UCCUCACAGCCCCUGAGUGCACAGGUCAUCACCAUGGGCUGGAGCUGGGUCAUCUUCUUCCUGGUGUCAGCAGCCAGAGGUGUCUACUCUCAAGCUCAGCUGCAGCAGUCUGGAGCUGAGCUGAAGAGGCCUGGGGCUUCAGUGAAGGUGUCCUGCAAGGCUUCUGGUUACAGCUUCACAAGCUACUACAUACAAUGGGUGAAGCAGAAGCCUGGAAAGGGACUGGAGUGGAUUGGACGGAUUGAUCCUGGAGAUGGUGAAACAAAGUACGCUCAGAAAUUCCAGGGCAAGGCCACAUUGACGGCAGACACAUCGUCCAACACAGCUUUCCUGGAGCUGAGCAGUCUGACAACCGAGGACUCAGCCGUAUAUUACUGUGCAAGGCACAGUGUGGUAACCCACAUCCUUAGUAUUUCAAAAACUCUGAAUGAACAGGAAACUGCCCUGGAUCUGAGAUGUCAGAGAAGAUUAUCCUGA
Non-coding RNA from Nannospalax galili (Upper Galilee mountains blind mole rat), 477 nucleotides. Lineage: Eukaryota; Metazoa; Chordata; Mammalia; Rodentia; Spalacidae. The record is from the annotation of a RefSeq genome assembly.